UGAGGAAUAUUGGUCAAUGGGCGAGAGCCUGAACCAGCCAAGUCGCGUGAGGGAAGACGGUCCUAUGGAUUGUAAACCUCUUUUGUCGGGGAGCAAAAAGGCCUCGUGAGGCCACAAGUGAGAGUACCCGAAGAAAAAGCAUCGGCUAACUCCGUGCCAGCAGCCGCGGUAAUACGGAGGAUGCGAGCGUUAUCCGGAUUUAUUGGGUUUAAAGGGUGCGUAGGCGGACUGGAAAGUCAGCGGUAAAAUCGAGAGGCUCAACCUCUUUCCGCCGUUGAAACUGUCGGUCUUGAGUGGGCGAGA
RNAcentral lists this ribosomal RNA (303 nucleotides) under uncultured bacterium. RNAcentral describes it as "bacterial SSU rRNA". It matches the Rfam family "Bacterial small subunit ribosomal RNA", at positions 355 to 655 of the family's 1533-position model. The record is from RNAcentral.